AAUAAAUAUACCAAAAGACUGAUUUUCUUCCGGGCUUGUGUUUAGUUACUCAGAUAUAUUUAUAUCCUUGGAAAAAAAUUCUGAAGUCAAUUUUAGCAUGGAAUAAAUCCCUAUGUUAAUUUUCCAGUAUUAAUUUAUUUUUUUUUCCUCAGGUGCUUGAAAUUACUGAACUGCAGCACUUGCCAGCACUAAACUAGAGGCCUGUAAGGAAUGGGUGGCUGUAUUUCAGAGCUGGAGCCAGUACAGCUGCUUUCUACCUUUCAGAAGUGCAUGAAUUGUGGCUUAGCUUUUGGAGUUCAGACACAGUUGUCAGGAGCCAAUGGGAAG
RNAcentral lists this long non-coding RNA (327 nucleotides) under Cyanistes caeruleus (blue tit). RNAcentral's name for it is "lncRNA (ENSCCEG00000000772.1)". The record is from RNAcentral. Lineage: Eukaryota; Metazoa; Chordata; Aves; Passeriformes; Paridae.